GGAGAUGUAGCUCAUUGGUAGAGUACUUGUCUGAUGCAUAGAAGGUUCUGGGUUCAAACCUAGUACCAUCA
This 71-nucleotide transfer RNA is filed under the name Heterocephalus glaber (naked mole-rat). It matches the Rfam family "tRNA". From Rfam's summary of the family: Transfer RNA (tRNA) molecules are approximately 80 nucleotides in length. Their secondary structure includes four short double-helical elements and three loops (D, anti-codon, and T loops). Lineage: Eukaryota; Metazoa; Chordata; Mammalia; Rodentia; Bathyergidae. The record is from Rfam by way of RNAcentral.